RNAcentral lists this ribosomal RNA (445 nucleotides) under uncultured bacterium. RNAcentral describes it as "partial 16S ribosomal RNA". It matches the Rfam family "Bacterial small subunit ribosomal RNA", at positions 354 to 796 of the family's 1533-position model. The record is from RNAcentral.
GUGAGGAAUAUUGCGCAAUGGAGGCAACUCUGACGCAGCCAUGCCGCGUGCAGGAAGAAGGCGCUACGCGUUGUAAACUGCUUUUAACCGGGAAGAAACCCCAGGACGUGUCCUGGGUUGACGGUACCGGAGGAAUAAGCACCGGCUAACUUCGUGCCAGCAUCCGCGGUAAUACGAAGGGUGCAAGCGUUAUCCGGAUUCAUUGGGUUUAAAGGGUGCGUAGGCGGAGCGUUAAGUCAGUGGUGAAAUCCUGCAGCUUAACUGUAGACUUGCCAUUGAUACUGGCGCUCUUGAGUGCGCUUGAAGUGGGCGGAAUGUGCCGUGUAGCGGUGAAAUGCUUAGAUAUGGCACAGAACACCAAUUGCGAAGGCAGCUCACUAAGGCGAUACUGACGCUGAGGCACGAAAGCGUGGGGAUCGAACAGGAUUAGAAACCCUUGUAGUCC